RNAcentral lists this ribosomal RNA (120 nucleotides) under Dictyostelium purpureum. The record is from RNAcentral. Lineage: Eukaryota; Evosea; Eumycetozoa; Dictyosteliales; Dictyosteliaceae.
AGAUACGGCCAUACCAUGUAAGAAAAAUCCUCAUCUCGUUCGAUCUGAGAAGAUAAGUUGCAUCGGGCCUUCCUAGUACUCAAGUUGGAGACAAUUGGGGAAAAUAAGGUGCUGUAUCUU